GCGCCCGUAGCUCAGCUGGAUAGAGCAUCGGAUUUCUAAUCCGGUGGCCACAGGUUCGAAUCCUGUCGGGCGCGCCA
RNAcentral lists this transfer RNA (77 nucleotides) under Candidatus Omnitrophota bacterium. RNAcentral describes it as "tRNA-Arg". It matches the Rfam family "tRNA". From Rfam's summary of the family: Transfer RNA (tRNA) molecules are approximately 80 nucleotides in length. Their secondary structure includes four short double-helical elements and three loops (D, anti-codon, and T loops). The record is from RNAcentral. Lineage: Bacteria; Pseudomonadati; Candidatus Omnitrophota.